UAGAUUUUCUUCGGAAAAUUGAGAGCGGCGUACGGGUGCGGAACACGUGUGCAACCUACCUUUAUCUGGAGGAUAGCCUUUCGAAAGGAAGAUUAAUACUCCAUAAUAUACAACAAGGCAUCUUGAAGUAUUGAAAGCUCCGGCGGAUAGAGAUGGGCACGCGCAAGAUUAGCUAGUUGGUGAGGUAACGGCUCACCAAGGCAAUGAUCUUUAGGGGGCCUGAGAGGGUGAUCCCCCACACUGGUACUGAGACACGGACCAGACUCCUACGGGAGGCAGCAGUGAGGAAUAUUGGACAAUGGGUGCAAGCCUGAUCCAGCCAUCCCGCGUGAAGGACGACUGCCCUAUGGGUUGUAAACUUCUCUUGUAUAGGGAUAAACCUUUCCACGAGUGGAAAGCUGAAGGUACUAUACGAAUAAGCACCGGCUAACUCCGUGCCAGCAGCCGCGGUAAUACGGAGGGUGCAAGCGUUAUCCGGAUUUAUUGGGUUUAAAGGGUCCGUAGGCGGACUUAUAAGUCAGUGGUGAAAUCCUGUCGCUUAACGAUAGAACUGCCAUUGAUACUGUAAGUCUUGAGUAUAUUUGAGGUAGCUGGAAUAAGUAGUGUAGCGGUGAAAUGCAUAGAUAUUACUUAGAACACCAAUUGCGAAGGCAGGUUACCAAGAUAUAACUGACGCUGAGGGACGAAAGCGUGGGGAGCGAACA
This 704-nucleotide ribosomal RNA is filed under the name uncultured bacterium. RNAcentral's name for it is "bacterial SSU rRNA". It matches the Rfam family "Bacterial small subunit ribosomal RNA", at positions 70 to 774 of the family's 1533-position model. The record is from RNAcentral.